Blastocladiella britannica is the source of this 72-nucleotide non-coding RNA. The record is from the annotation of a GenBank genome assembly. NCBI's taxonomy places the organism in Eukaryota, Fungi, Blastocladiomycota, Blastocladiomycetes, Blastocladiales, Blastocladiaceae.
GGGGAUUUAGCUCAGUGGUAGAGCGUCUCGUUUGCAUCGAGAAGGCCGGGGGUUCAAACCCCCCAAUCUCCA